RNAcentral lists this long non-coding RNA (274 nucleotides) under Glycine max (soybean). RNAcentral describes it as "long non-coding RNA (GMAX_LNC001637)". The record is from RNAcentral. Lineage: Eukaryota; Viridiplantae; Streptophyta; Magnoliopsida; Fabales; Fabaceae.
AAGAGCUCAACCAAGACCAAACUUAAAACAUAAUAUCCUGGACUAAAAGCUUCCAAUUUGCAACUUGUUGAUUAAAAACACGACUGUUCCUUUCUUUCCAAAUGCAAAAAAUUAUUGUGCACCACACUACCUUCCAAAUCUGACUUUCCUUAUGUGAUCUCCCCAAAUCUGAAUUUAGCCAGAAGUGACCAACUACAAAGUUCGGUGCAGCGUAGGCAAAGUUUGGUGAUGUCCAACUGUAGCAAGCAUUUCAUACCUUGACAAUAAAGUCGCA